RNAcentral lists this unclassified non-coding RNA (255 nucleotides) under Hevea brasiliensis (rubber tree). The record is from RNAcentral. Lineage: Eukaryota; Viridiplantae; Streptophyta; Magnoliopsida; Malpighiales; Euphorbiaceae.
GCUUGUUGCUGGGCUCAAAGUGCCAGAGCAACUGAGAAUUGAUUGCAAAAGUCUUGUAGAUGCAAAGGAGCACUUAAGACAACCCUGGAUUGGAAGCAGUUGGUCCAUUCGAAGUGGGGACUCAACGCAACCAAUUCAGAAACAAGCAGAUAUCUCCAAGUCAAUGGCUGCACGAAGUGCAGUAGUUGAAAAUUAGGUCAUAGUGAUCGUUUUAUCGAGUCUUGAGUUGUGUAAAAGGAAAAAAGAAAAAAAGAA